Molecule: small RNA, 545 nt
Filed under: Pan troglodytes (chimpanzee)
Lineage: Eukaryota; Metazoa; Chordata; Mammalia; Primates; Hominidae
Description: processed transcript
Source: RNAcentral
GUGCCUGCGCUCGCACACACACCUCUGCGUGCCUUGUAGUGGCUCAGGGGCGCCCACCUGAGACAACGGUGGCAGUGGAGGUGGUGACCACGAUGACCUCAGCCGACGUGAUGUGGCAGGAUGGCUCCGUGGAAUGCAACAUCCGCUCCAACGACCUCUUCCCUGUGCACCACCUGGACAACAACGAGUUCUGCCCCGGAGACUUCGUGGUAGAUAAACGAGUCCAGAGCUGUCCAGACCCUGCUGUCUAUGGUGUGGUACAGUCUGGGGACCACAUCGGCCGUACCUGCAUGGUGAAGUGGUUCAAGCUGAGGCCGAGUGGGGACGACGUGGAGCUGAUUGGAGAAGAGGAAGAUGUGAGUGUUUACGACAUUGCUGACCACCCUGACUUUAGGUUCCGUACAACUGACAUCGUCAUCCGCAUCGGCAAUACUGAGGAUGGGGCUCCUCACAAGGAGGAUGAGCCAUCGGUGGGCCAGGUGGCCCGUGUGGACGUCAGCAGCAAGGUGGAGGUGGUGUGGGCUGACAACUCAAAGACCAUCAUC